AGAGUUUGAUCCUGGCUCAGAAGUCGUAACAAGGUAACCACUAGAGUUUGAUCCUGGCUCAGGACAGACUUAAGUCGUAACAAGGUAACCAAGUCGUAACAAGGUAACCACUGAGAGUUUGAUCCUGGGUCAGAAGUCGUAACAAGGUAACCGCCAGAGUUUGAUCCUGGCUCAGACUCUAAGUCGUAACAAGGUAACCACUAAGAGUUUGAUCCUGGCUCAGAAGUCGUGACAAGGUAACCACUGAGAGUCUGAUCCUGGCUCAGAAGUCGUAACAAGGUAACCACUGAGAGUUUGAUCCUGGCUCAGAAGUCGUAACAAGGUAACCAUUGAGAGUUUGAUCCUGGCUCAGAAGUCGUAACAAGGUAACCACUAGAGUUUGAUCCUGGCUCAGAUUGAACGCUGGCGGCAUGCCUUACACAUGCAAGUCGAACGGUAACAGGUCUUCGGAUGCUGACGAGUGGCGAACGGGUGAGUAAUACAUCGGAACGUGCCCAGUAAUGGGGGAUAGCUCGGCGAAAGCCGGAUUAAUACCGCAUACGCCCUGAGGGGGAAAGUGGGGGACCGCAAGGCCUCACGUUAUUGGAGCGGCCGAUGGCUGAUUAGCUAGUUGGUAGGGUAAAGGCCUACCAAGGCGACGAUCAGUAGCUGGUCUGAGAGGACGAUCAGCCACACUGGGACUGAGACACGGCCCAGACUCCUACGGGAGGCAGCAGUGGGGAAUUUUGGACAAUGGGGGAAACCCUGAUCCAGCAAUGCCGCGUGUGCGAAGAAGGCCUUCGGGUUGUAAAGCACUUUUGUCAGGGAAGAAAUCCUUUGGGCUAAUACCCUAGGGGGAUGACGGUACCUGAAGAAUAAGCACCGGCUAUCUACGUGCCAGCAGCCGCGGUAAUACGUAGGGUGCAAGCGUUAAUCGGAAUUACUGGGCGUAAAGCGUGCGCAGGCGGUUGUGUAAGACAGGUGUGAAAUCCCCGGGCUUAACCUGGGAAUUGCAUUUGUGACUGCACGACUAGAGUGUGUCAGAGGGGGGUGGAAUUCCACGUGUAGCAGUGAAAUGCGUAGAUAUGUGGAGGAACACCAAUGGCGAAGGCAGCCCCCUGGGAUAACACUGACGCUUAUGCACGAAAGCGUGGGGAGCAAACAGGAUUAGAUACCCUGGUAGUCCACGCCCUAAACGAUGUCAACUAGUUGUUGGGGAUUUACUUCCUUGGUAACGUAGCUAACGCGUGAAGUUGACCGCCUGGGGAGUACGGCCGCAAGGUUAAAACUCAAAGGAAUUGACGGGGACCCGCACAAGCGGUGGAUGAUGUGGAUUAAUUCGAUGCAACGCGAAAAACCUUACCUACCCUUGACAUGGCAGGAACUUUCCAGAGAUGGAUU
Molecule: ribosomal RNA, 1380 nt
Filed under: Limnobacter sp. F3
Lineage: Bacteria; Pseudomonadati; Pseudomonadota; Betaproteobacteria; Burkholderiales; Burkholderiaceae
Description: bacterial SSU rRNA
Rfam family: Bacterial small subunit ribosomal RNA (bases 368-1380)
Source: RNAcentral